RNAcentral lists this ribosomal RNA (227 nucleotides) under Vibrio parahaemolyticus. Its description in RNAcentral is "partial 23S ribosomal RNA". It matches the Rfam family "Bacterial large subunit ribosomal RNA", at positions 1531 to 1754 of the family's 2925-position model. The record is from RNAcentral. Lineage: Bacteria; Pseudomonadati; Pseudomonadota; Gammaproteobacteria; Vibrionales; Vibrionaceae.
GUUAGGUAAAUCCGGCUCUUUCUAAGGCUGAGACACGACGUCGAGCACCUACGGGUGUGAAGUCAUUGAUGCCAUGCUUCCAGGAAAAGCCUCUAAGCUUCAGAUUGUAAGGAAUCGUACCCCAAACCGACACAGGUGGUCGGGUAGAGAAUACCAAGGCGCUUGAGAGAACUCGGGUGAAGGAACUAGGCAAAAUGGUACCGUAACUUCGGGAGAAGGUACGCUCU